Molecule: long non-coding RNA, 268 nt
Filed under: Homo sapiens (human)
Lineage: Eukaryota; Metazoa; Chordata; Mammalia; Primates; Hominidae
Description: HSALNT0063724
Source: RNAcentral
UAUUUUUUAAGUGCUUUAAAAGUAUUUCUCAUCAUUUGGGAGAAUAUAUAAUAUGCCUAAGUAAAGAGGACUAAUGGCUUCUUAUUCUGAGAAUUCGUUAAUAAUUUUUAAAAUGUUUCUUUUGGAGCAUACGAAAAUUAGGAAAUUGAGAAAAGCACAGAGAUAACUCCGAAGCACAACUUGGUUCUUGAAGGCAGCCCAAUAGUAGACUUCUUACUGAACAGGAAGUAAUGCUAGCUUUCCAUCCAGAUGUGCAUUAAUUGGGGAG